This 301-nucleotide ribosomal RNA is filed under the name uncultured bacterium. RNAcentral describes it as "partial 16S ribosomal RNA". It matches the Rfam family "Bacterial small subunit ribosomal RNA", at positions 509 to 807 of the family's 1533-position model. The record is from RNAcentral.
CAGUAGCCGCGGGAAUACGUAGGUGGCAAGCGUUGUCCGGAAUUAUUGGGCGUAAAGGGCUCGCAGGCGGUUUCUUAAGUCUGAUGUGAAAUCCCCGGGCUCAACCUGGGAAUGGCAGUGGAUACUGGCAAGCUAGAGUGUGUCAGAGGAUGGUGGAAUUCCCGGUGUAGCGGUGAAAUGCGUAGAGAUCGGGAGGAACAUCAGUGGCGAAGGCGGCCAUCUGGGACAACACUGACGCUGAGGCACGAAAGCGUGGGGAGCAAACAGGAUUAGAUACCCCGGUAGUCCCUGUCUCUUAUAC